This 519-nucleotide ribosomal RNA is filed under the name uncultured beta proteobacterium. Its description in RNAcentral is "bacterial SSU rRNA". It matches the Rfam family "Bacterial small subunit ribosomal RNA", at positions 130 to 644 of the family's 1533-position model. Lineage: Bacteria; Pseudomonadati; Pseudomonadota; Betaproteobacteria. The record is from RNAcentral.
CCAGAAGUGGGGGAUAACGUAUCGAAAGUUACGCUAAUACCGCAUACGUUCUACGGAAGAAAGUGGGGGACCUUCGGGCCUCAUGCUUUUGGAGCGGCCGAUGUCUGAUUAGCUAGUUGGUGAGGUAAAGGCUCACCAAGGCGACGAUCAGUAGCUGGUCUGAGAGGACGACCAGCCACACUGGGACUGAGACACGGCCCAGACUCCUACGGGAGGCAGCAGUGGGGAAUUUUGGACAAUGGGCGCAAGCCUGAUCCAGCAAUGCCGCGUGAGUGAAGAAGGCCUUCGGGUUGUAAAGCUCUUUUGUCAGGGAAGAAACGGCCGAGGUUAAUACCUUUGGCUAAUGACGGUACCUGAAGAAUAAGCACCGGCUAACUACGUGCCAGCAGCCGCGGUAAUACGUAGGGUGCAAGCGUUAAUCGGAAUUACUGGGCGUAAAGCGUGCGCAGGCGGUUUUGUAAGUCUGACGUGAAAUCCCCGGGCUCAACCUGGGAAUUGCGUUGGAGACUGCAAGGCUGG